Molecule: ribosomal RNA, 246 nt
Filed under: uncultured bacterium
Lineage: Bacteria
Description: partial 16S ribosomal RNA
Rfam family: Bacterial small subunit ribosomal RNA
Source: RNAcentral
UACGGAGGAUCCCAAGCGUUAUCCGGAUUUAUUGGGUUUAAAGGGUGCGUAGGCGGAUGAAUAGGUCAGUGGUGAAAGCCUGCAGCUUAACUGUAGAAUUGCCAUUGAUACUGUUUAUCUUGAAUGUAGUUGAGGUGGGCGGAAUAUGACAUGUAGUGGUGAAAUACUUAGAUAUGUCAUAGAACACCGAUUGCGAAGGCAGCUCACUAAGCUAUAAUUGACGCUGAGGCACGAAAGCGUGGGAGC